AGACCGUGAUGAGGGCAUAGUCUCAUCAUGUCCUUAUAUCAUUCCCAAGCUUCGAAAAGUGAUUCUCCAUUUGUCUGUCUAAACAUGGUUAUGUGAUUUCUUAGCAC
This is a small nucleolar RNA of Lathyrus oleraceus (garden pea), 107 nucleotides long. The record is from RefSeq and is a predicted model, not a curated record. NCBI's taxonomy places the organism in Eukaryota, Viridiplantae, Streptophyta, Magnoliopsida, Fabales, Fabaceae.